Myiozetetes cayanensis is the source of this 541-nucleotide long non-coding RNA. RefSeq lists it as uncharacterized. The transcript has 3 exons. NCBI's taxonomy places the organism in Eukaryota, Metazoa, Chordata, Aves, Passeriformes, Tyrannidae. The record is from RefSeq and is a predicted model, not a curated record.
CCGCAGCCCCGCCCCGCGGCCGCAGGUGCCGCGCAGGGCCCGCCCCGGCCCGGCCCCGCCCCGCGGCCCUUUUCCCGAGCGCCAGUGGGGCCCCGGCGGGAGCUUUGGUGUGCCGGGUCCGGGAGGAGCAGGUUGAGCUCCGCGGGAACUGCCCGGGGGCUGCCGGCCAGAGCCCCCCGAGGAUGGGGCUCCCCCCGAGCACGGGGCAACCGCAGCCACCUGCGGGUCAGCCAGCGGAAAGGUUUCCCGGUUGUUGCAGUCUCCAAACUCGCCGUGCCUCGUUCCCGGCAGCCCUGCCCGGGCCAGCCCGGCUCAGCACAGCAGCGGGAGAGGACGAGCCCGGCCAGGACACAGCAGAGCCCCGGGAGAGGUGACACGGGAGGGAAUGUCGGGUGAUGCCCCAGUCAGCUUCUUCAGGUUCCAGUUGUGGCUGUGCAGUGCUCCAGGUGCUUCCAGGCUGCUCCAAUUGAUUCCAGCUGUGGCUCCGAGAUGCUCCAGUUCAUUCCAGCUCUAGCUCCUAGGUGCUCCAGUUGAUGGCUGC